UUUUAGCCCCGAUAGCAGUGAAAAUCCUUUCUGGUCAUGAACUUGUUUCAGUAUUCUGAAACAAGUUCAUGACCAGAAAGAUUGCAACGAAUAGCGGGAUUAGCU
Molecule: small RNA, 105 nt
Filed under: Flavobacterium xueshanense
Lineage: Bacteria; Pseudomonadati; Bacteroidota; Flavobacteriia; Flavobacteriales; Flavobacteriaceae
Description: Flavo-1 RNA
Rfam family: Flavo-1 RNA
Source: RNAcentral